This 234-nucleotide long non-coding RNA is filed under the name Drosophila guanche. The record is from RNAcentral. Lineage: Eukaryota; Metazoa; Arthropoda; Insecta; Diptera; Drosophilidae.
GUUGUCCGCAACCAACCUUCCGCGUCGACAGGCAAACGAGCACUGAGAAUUGUGAAAAGCAGCGAGUAACUCUGCCACCGACGAGGCCUCCUUAUAUAUGUAGUUGCUUUAUGCCCAUAGCAAUGCGAUCCAUCGCUUAUAUAUGUACAAGCCGAUCGCGGAGCAUAAGUACUCCAACGGAGUACUCGAAAUCAAGCAUUUUGCGUCUCAUUAUGAGACCUGUGUGGGCACCCG